GAGGGUAUAGCUCUGUGGUAGAGUACAUGCUUAGCAUGCAUGAGGUCCUGGGUUCAAUCCUCAGUCCCUCCA
Molecule: transfer RNA, 72 nt
Organism: Camelus ferus (Wild Bactrian camel)
Lineage: Eukaryota; Metazoa; Chordata; Mammalia; Artiodactyla; Camelidae
Rfam family: tRNA
About the family: Transfer RNA (tRNA) molecules are approximately 80 nucleotides in length. Their secondary structure includes four short double-helical elements and three loops (D, anti-codon, and T loops).
Source: Rfam